RNAcentral lists this ribosomal RNA (741 nucleotides) under uncultured bacterium. Its description in RNAcentral is "bacterial SSU rRNA". It matches the Rfam family "Bacterial small subunit ribosomal RNA", at positions 85 to 842 of the family's 1533-position model. The record is from RNAcentral.
UUUGAACUUAGUGGCGGACGGGUGAGUAACGCGUGAGCAACCUGCCUUUCAGAGGGGGAUAACAUUUGGAAACAGAUGCUAAUACCGCAUAAGAUUACAGUACCGCAUGAUACAGUGAUCAAAGGAGCAAUCCGCUGAAAGAUGGGCUCGCGUCCGAUUAGAUAGUUGGUGAGGUAACGGCUCACCAAGUCGACGAUCGGUAGCCGGACUGAGAGGUUGAACGGCCACAUUGGGACUGAGACACGGCCCAGACUCCUACGGGAGGCAGCAGUGGGGAAUAUUGCACAAUGGGCGAAAGCCUGAUGCAGCAACGCCGCGUGAGGGAAGACGGUUUUCGGAUUGUAAACCUCUGUUUUCGGUGACGAACAAAUGACGGUAACCGAGUAGGAAGCCACGGCUAACUACGUGCCAGCAGCCGCGGUAAUACGUAGGUGGCAAGCGUUAUCCGGAAUUACUGGGUAUAAAGGGAGCGCAGGCGGGAUAGCAAGUCAGCUGUGAAAACUAUGGGCUCAACCCAUAAACUGCAGUUGAAACUGUUAUUCUUGAGCGGAGUAGAGGCAAGCGGAAUUCCGAGUGUAGCGGUGAAAUGCGUAGAUAUUCGGAGGAACACCAGUGGCGAAGGCGGCUUGCUGGGCUCUAACUGACGCUGAGGCUCGAAAGUGUGGGGAGCAAACAGGAUUAGAUACCCUGGUAGUCCACACUGUAAACGAUGAUUGCUAGGUGUGGGGGGUCUGACCCCCU